GGCAGCGUGCCCUAGUGGGUAGAGCAUGGGCCUGGGAAUCUGAAGGAUCUGGGUUCUAAUCCCUGCUCUGCCA
RNAcentral lists this transfer RNA (73 nucleotides) under Ornithorhynchus anatinus (platypus). It matches the Rfam family "tRNA". From Rfam's summary of the family: Transfer RNA (tRNA) molecules are approximately 80 nucleotides in length. Their secondary structure includes four short double-helical elements and three loops (D, anti-codon, and T loops). The record is from Rfam by way of RNAcentral. Lineage: Eukaryota; Metazoa; Chordata; Mammalia; Monotremata; Ornithorhynchidae.